CAUGCUAACCAAUCAGAUGUUAGUUUAACCACUAACGAGCAGUGACGGACAAGCACGGAAUAUCCCGAACUCAGUCGGGUAACGCGGAAGAUGUCUAGACUAACCAGGAAAUGGCAUAGCAUGGGCAUUAUAAAAAUAGGGCAAAUCUUCUGUUCUUCACUAUUUCCUAAGUAGUCGUCAGUCAACAAGCAACAUGAAAGUCACAGCUCUUGCCCUUUUUGCUCUCGUCGGAGUCAUCGGUGUAGCUCUUGGUGCCGGGUACGGGUACGGCGGUUAUUCUGGCGGAUACACCUACAUGCCGGCAUAUGGAUACGGACAAGGACAAAGUGCGGGUGGAAUUGGAGAUGGAUCUUUCUUGUACCUGAUUGGGUUCUUGUUCCUGUUCCUGAUCCUGUUCAACGGAAACCUCUUCAACAGCACAUCUAGCACCACACCAAUCACCAUCGUCCAGGGUUAAUUAUGAUUUAGUUGCCAAUCGAACAGAGCCCGCAGAGCCAGUAGAACCUCCAAUAUUCCAAUCCUUUUUUUUGUAUUCGUUUUCUUCGUGUUGUAUGCUGACUGACCCGAGUGUACCCGUAUUUUGUGAUAACCCGAGUUUUUAUCAUUGUUGUCAUUUUUCUGUUGAUAUGUCUCAUACCAUAAA
Molecule: long non-coding RNA, 643 nt
Organism: Mercenaria mercenaria
Lineage: Eukaryota; Metazoa; Mollusca; Bivalvia; Venerida; Veneridae
Exons: 4
Source: RefSeq, a predicted model, not a curated record